Molecule: unclassified non-coding RNA, 344 nt
Filed under: soil metagenome
Description: partial contains 5.8S ribosomal RNA, internal transcribed spacer 2, and large subunit ribosomal RNA
Rfam family: 5.8S ribosomal RNA (bases 1-120)
Source: RNAcentral
GAUGAAGAACGCAGCGAAAUGCGAUAAGUAAUGUGAAUUGCAGAAUUCAGUGAAUCAUCGAAUCUUUGAACGCACAUUGCGCCCGCCAGUAUUCUGGCGGGCAUGCCUGUUCGAGCGUCAUUUCAACCAUCAAGCCCCCGGGCUUGGUGUUGGGGAUCGGCGUGCCCUCGCGGCGCGCCGUCCCCUAAAUCUAGUGGCGGUCUCGCUGUAGCUUCCUCUGCGUAGUAGCAACACUCGCACUGGAUCGCAGCGCGGCCACGCCGUUAAACCCCCCACUUCUGAAAGUUUGACCUCGGAUCAGGUAGGAAUACCCGCUGAACUUAAGCAUAUCAAUAAGCGGAGGA